RNAcentral lists this ribosomal RNA (624 nucleotides) under Triticum aestivum (bread wheat). RNAcentral describes it as "partial small subunit ribosomal RNA". The record is from RNAcentral. Lineage: Eukaryota; Viridiplantae; Streptophyta; Magnoliopsida; Poales; Poaceae.
AUGAGUCGCAUUAGUUGGAACCGUCGGGGGCUUGGGAACCCUGAGACAGUCCGUGAGCUUCGUAGUAUUGUGAGGCUGGAAGGGCCCUCUCUGCUCUUUGUUACAUAAACGAAGAUAAAAGCAAAAAGAGUAGAGGACUUGAAGUUUUUGUUAGGUUUCGGAGGUUGUUUUGCUGUGGACAGUGUUGGCCUUAGUGGCGGCAUUGGUCUUUUUUGGUCUAGUGAUGUUUCAGUAGAACUGAAAAGCUAUGGUCAAUGUCAUAUUGAUGUUUUGGUUAGUAAUAAAAGUCCUGGUUCUCCAACUUGGAGGUUCACAGGUUUUUACGGAUCACCGUGUGCUGAAGAUAGAAGUGAUAGCUGGCGGUUAUUGUGUACUCUUUAUAACGUGCCACAUGCUGCAUGGAUGUGCAUGGGGGAUUUUAAUGAGACUAUGUUCUCCAAUGAACAUUUCAGCAGAGCUGUUCGCCCUGAGCGACAGAUGCAAGCUUUUCGAGAGGUUGUGGACGAUCUUUCCUUCCAGGACUUGGGUUGGUCAGGUACAUCGUACACUUGGGAUAACCACCAAGCUGGAGAGGACAAUGUGAAAGCAAGACUCGACCGUGCCUUUGCUAAUGAGGUGUUCUGA